AAUUCAAUAGUGAUUCAAGCCUAACACAUGCAAGUCGAGCGGUAGAGAGAAGCUUGCUUCUCUAAAAAAAAAAGGACGGGUGAGUAAUGCCUAGGAAUCUGCCUGGUAGUGGGGGAUAACGUUCGGAAACGGACGCUGAUACCGCAUACGUCGUACGGGAGAAAGCAGGGGACGUUCGGGCCUUGCGCUAUCAGAUGAGCCUAGGGCGAUUGAGCUAGUUGGUGAGGUAAUGGCUCACCAAGGCUACGAUCCGUAACUGGUCUGAGAGGAUGAUCAGUCACACUGGUUCUGGGACACGGUCCAGACUCCUACGGGAGGCAGCAGUGGGGAAUAUUGGACAAUGG
This 344-nucleotide ribosomal RNA is filed under the name uncultured bacterium. RNAcentral's name for it is "partial 16S ribosomal RNA". It matches the Rfam family "Bacterial small subunit ribosomal RNA", at positions 46 to 374 of the family's 1533-position model. The record is from RNAcentral.